RNAcentral lists this ribosomal RNA (112 nucleotides) under marine eukaryotic metagenome. The record is from RNAcentral.
CGGUGGCUACAGCGGAGGGGCCACACCCGUUCCCAUUCCGAACACGGAAGUUAAGCCCUCCAGCGCCGAUGGUACUUGAAGCGAGAGCUUCUGGGAGAGUAGGUCGCUGCCG